RNAcentral lists this long non-coding RNA (465 nucleotides) under Carica papaya (papaya). Its description in RNAcentral is "long non-coding RNA (CPAP_LNC002715)". Lineage: Eukaryota; Viridiplantae; Streptophyta; Magnoliopsida; Brassicales; Caricaceae. The record is from RNAcentral.
AGCUAAACCAUAGGACAAUAUUACAAAAAAUUAUGGGGUGAGUAGUGAUACAAGUAAUAAAAUUGUUGUUCAUGAGGUAAAUAGAAAUGUUGUUGUGCAGGAGUCAAAAGAAAAUACAGAGAAGUAUAGCUCAACGCCAAGAGACGAAUUAAAUAACGAGAUAUCUGCGGCUAAUGUGAAGAAUUUUUUAGAAGAGCUUUUCAUGAGGAUGUCUCAAUAUUCAGAUAAAGACAUUUUUAUCAAUGAAAAUUGCAACAAGGGAAGGAAUGACAAGAAGGAAGAAAAGGUAUGAAUGGAUGGUCUUUGAGGAAAAACUUGAGAAAUUUUGCGAGACUAAGAUGUGCAGCGAGCCUUUUUUUUCUUCAUUUAUCUGCUCCUUGCAAAAUUAAUGAUAACAAUAAUGAAAAUGAAAAGUGAAUACAAAUAAACAUAUAGUCAUGAGAACGUGAUCCUCCUUAAUUCAAU